RNAcentral lists this long non-coding RNA (413 nucleotides) under Equus caballus (horse). Its description in RNAcentral is "lncRNA (ENSECAG00000049314.1)". Lineage: Eukaryota; Metazoa; Chordata; Mammalia; Perissodactyla; Equidae. The record is from RNAcentral.
ACUAGAACCUAGAAGGUUCUAGAGUUCUCGAGCUUAGAACAUUGGAGAAAGCAUGGUGAGAGAUGGACUGGAGAGCAUGGCAGAGACCAGGGGCCAGGCAAGUCCCAGCAGCGGCUGACAACGGGUCAGCCCCUGGUCCACAGCUACAGCUCGAGCCGGGCUCCUAUGCCACUACAUCGUCAUCUUAUCUCUUCAGACCGGAAGGAGGCAAUGGCUUCCUGUGGUACCGGUGCCUGGAGCCUCCACAUCCCUGCCCACAGCUCUGUACACGGUCCCUUCAUUAGAACUCGCCUUGGUGGGCCCUUGUCAGCAGAAUUCUGCUUCCCGCAGAACCCUGGCUAUACGUGUAUGUCUUUGCUAAAAAGUCUUGCAGAUGCCCAGAGGUGGGAAGAAAUAAUCUAGCUGCAAAUCCG